This 499-nucleotide ribosomal RNA is filed under the name uncultured soil bacterium. Its description in RNAcentral is "bacterial SSU rRNA". It matches the Rfam family "Bacterial small subunit ribosomal RNA", at positions 26 to 520 of the family's 1533-position model. The record is from RNAcentral.
AGAUUGAACGCUGGCGGCAGGCCUAACACAUGCAAGUCGAGCGGUAGAGAGGUGCUUGCACCUCUUGAGAGCGGCGGACAGGUGAGUAAUGCCUAGGAAUCUGCCUAGUGGUGGGGGAUAACGUUCGGAAACGGACGCUAAUACCGCAUACGUCCUACGGGAGAAAGCGGGGGACCUUCGGGCCUCGCGCCAUUAGAUGAGCCUAGGUCGGAUUAGCUAGUUGGUGAGGUAAUGGCUCACCAAGGCGACGAUCCGUAACUGGUCUGAGAGGAUGAUCAGUCACACUGGAACUGAGACACGGUCCAGACUCCUACGGGAGGCAGCAGUGGGGAAUAUUGGACAAUGGGCGAAAGCCUGAUCCAGCCAUGCCGCGUGUGUGAAAGAAGGUCUUCGGAUUGUAAAGCACUUUAAAGUUGGAGAAGGUUGUAACUUAAUACGUUGCAACUUUGACGUUACGACAGAACUAAGCAACCGCUAACUUCGUGCCAGCAGCCGACGG